GACGAACGCUGGCGGCGUGCCUAAUACAUGCAAGUAGAACGCACAGUUUAUACCGUAGCUUGCUACACCAUAGAUUGUGAGUUGCGAACGGGUGAGUAACGCGUAGGUAACCUGCCUGGUAGCGGGGGAUAACUAAUGGAAACGAUAGCUAAUACCGCAUAAUAUUAAUUAUUGCAUGAUAAUUAAGUGAAAGGUGCAAUUGCACCACUACCAGAUGGACCUGCGUUGUAUUAGCUAGGAGGGGAGGUAACGGCUCACCUAGGCGACGAUACAUAGCCGAGCUUGGAGGGUGAACGGCCAACAUGGGAAUGAGACAAGGCCCAGACUUCUAAGGGGGGGAGCAGUAGGGAAUCUUCGGAAAUGGGCGGAAGGCUGACCGAGCAAAGACGCGGGAGUGAAGAAGGGCUUCGGAGCGUAAAGCUCUGUUUUAAGAGAAGAACGGGUGGGAGAGUGGAAAGUUCACGCUGUGACGGUACCUUAACAGAAAGGGACGGCUAACUACGUG
Molecule: ribosomal RNA, 505 nt
Filed under: uncultured bacterium
Lineage: Bacteria
Description: partial 16S ribosomal RNA
Rfam family: Bacterial small subunit ribosomal RNA
Source: RNAcentral